Glycine soja is the source of this 1618-nucleotide long non-coding RNA. RefSeq lists it as uncharacterized. Lineage: Eukaryota; Viridiplantae; Streptophyta; Magnoliopsida; Fabales; Fabaceae. The record is from RefSeq and is a predicted model, not a curated record. The transcript is spliced from 4 exons.
UUCUUUUAGGAAGGUCAUGACAAUUUGAUACGAAAAUAAUUUAUAAUGGCCUAACUAAUAAGGAGCUAUGUAUUUCCCUAAGUCUUUGAUAAAAUUUCUUGCAUAGUUAAGCAGGCCUAGAAAGGCUCUCAGGAUUUUUAUGUCUUCCAUUUUAUCUGAGAAACCAAGAAUCUUUUGGGAGAUAUGAGGCUGAAGUUGAAAAUGGACGAGUUGAAACUAAGUGUUUGGCCAAGCAUCAAGGAAGGGCUCAUAAGUUGGCUAUUGAGCCUGGUCCACAUGUUUUUUAUACCUGUGGUGAAGAUGGAUUAGUGCAGCUUUGAUGCUUUUCGAUUGAUCAAUCCACAAACAAUGAUGCUUGGUCAAGGACCAAGGCAGACAACAUCCAAUUUGGGACAUAUGAGUAAACCAUCCAUUCAAGUGUGUUAUCCAAAUCCCUUUCUUUCUGAUGUCUAUACUGUUUCCAUGUUUUAUAUUUGGAAGCGCUUAUUCUGCAUUUUUUUUAAAUUGCCCCCCAUCAUUCUUUAUUGGUCCUCUUUAGGCAUUGAUCCAUGGGUUGAAUUGGCUUUACUAUUCCAUAGCCAUGAAUUACAGGAAGAAUGAACUUGAGGAGAAGACGUUGUUUAAUCUUCACAAGAAGAAAUGGACUGAUGGUUUGACACUUUGGCAGUUUGAUACACAUUCCAAAACUAAUGAACAGACUGUACAGGUUGGUGAUGUGAAGCAACAACUUAAUUUUGUCCAUAAGGCUCCUAAGAAGGUAAGGAUUGUAAUGCAGCUACUUGAGUAGAUUUUACAUGCCAUUUGCCAAAUAUAUUCUUCAUGUCACUUGUAUGAUGCUCGUACUCUGUUGAUCAAAAUUCGAGACAUUCCAAACUGAAGAUUACUAUUCCUAGAGAGCCUCACUUAGAAACAACUCACAGAGCACGAAGGAUUAGGUUUGAAACUGCCCCAACAUUCUAGAGUGUUCAGAGGUUUUCCUUCUAUAACUUUGAAUUAAAUGAUCAUUUUUUAUGGGACAUUGAUGCAUAUUUUACUAAUUAUGUUAAGAUUUUGUUUUUUCUUCUUUUGCAUUGUAAUUAAAUUAUGUGAAUGUCUGGUCCAUCUGUGUUUCAGUCCUGCUUCAAUUACUUUUUGGGUGUAGAGUUACCAAGGUUUUAUUUCACAAUUGAUAUAUUUUUCCUUUUGUUGUUUGUCUUUCCAGUGGAGGUUUGCAUUUGUGUUACAUGGUCAUCCUGAAUACCUACAAGAUUCAGAUUUUGUUUCUGAACGGUUUCAGAACCAUCACACAUUUGAGAAGUCUGUAAAAAACUACAACUAGGAAAAAAGUCUGUAUCAUCUCAAUCAAUUAGUAUAUAAUACCUCAUGGUAGUGACACUUGCAGUGUUAUGAAGGUGAUCACAGAAGUGUAGAGUAGAGAUACUGCCAAUCUUCUCAAGAGAUGUCUCAAUUUUAUAGAUUUAAGGCUUACGGUAUAAGUACAUAGCCUUGAUCUGUCUUUUCUGGUGGUUAAAACUCAUUCUCAGUCACUCGUCUUGUAGAUUGAGUUUUAAUUCCUUUGUAAAUGAUAAAUAAAAUUUUGGGUUGGAUUUUGUAUAUAAAAUUCUAUUACGAGCUUUUG